UACGGGGGGGGCAAGCGUUGUUCGGAAUUACUGGGCGUAAAGGGCGCGUAGGCGGCCUUCUAAGUCAGACGUGAAAUCCCUCGGCUCAACCGAGGAACUGCGUCUGAUACUGGAAGGCUUGAAUCCGGGAGAGGGAUGUGGAAUUCCAGGUGUAGCGGUGAAAUGCGUAGAUAUCUGGAGGAACACCGGUGGCGAAGGCGGCAUCCCGGACCGGUAUUGACGCUGAGGCGCGAAAGCUAGGGGAGCAAACGGG
RNAcentral lists this ribosomal RNA (253 nucleotides) under uncultured bacterium. RNAcentral describes it as "partial 16S ribosomal RNA". It matches the Rfam family "Bacterial small subunit ribosomal RNA", at positions 524 to 776 of the family's 1533-position model. The record is from RNAcentral.